UUGUUUUGUUUUUUUUUUUUUUGUUUUCCUCUCUUCCCUCACAGAGGAUGACUGGAAGUGGGCUAAGCGAAUGCGCUACCCAAAGACAAAUUGUCCAGCUUGUCACGGUGAUCCCUGCUCCCCCAAGGAGCCCUUCUCAAGUCUGGACAGUCUGCCAACAAGAGAGGUUGCAGAAGAGGAUUUUAUUGUAUAUGGAUCUCUCUUCUUAAGAGUAACUAGCUCACAUGGACUUCAGAAACGGAAGUUUUGCCUUCCUCAUCACUUGUCUAAAAAGGGAAAUGAAAGUAGUUUGUGGAGAAGGAAGAGAUUUACACUGCUGUUACACAUUCUUAAACUGUACUUCAGUGAUCAGCAACAGAUACAUUGAGCUUGAUAUUGAAGUGCUUGGGAAAGACACCUGUGCUAGAAUAAGAUGCUGAUGCCUCUUGAAGGCACCUAGAGGAAACAUCUGAGAGAGCAAUGCUGAGAAGAGAAACUGAGAUACUGCAGGGGACCUGGGUCUUCUAGCUGCAGAGAAGGAAGCUCUCUCAUUCCAGAUUCCAUCUUCUGAUUUUCAGUUCGAAAAUACAAUUUAAAUGCUUACCAGUGGAAUCUUCUCCUACACUUUUGCCUCUGCCUGCAGUGAUGUAAAUCAGGAAAGAUGUCUUCUUAAUCCGUGCGGCAAUGUGACUGAAGUUAGCAUGGACUAUUGGAGUUAAACAUGCAGAGACUGGGAUUCCGUUCGGAGAUGUUGUCCGUGAUUUUCACCAAUAUUGUCCUUAGUUAAAUAAAAUGAGGCGUAACCAUGUCAGAGUAACAGGUGUUUAGUAAAACGAGAGUGCCUUCACCUUUCCCAGCAGCCAGUACCAACAUGUGAGUAUUAUUUUGUAACCUCUUACAUUCAUGGUAACGUUUGGAGAUUUAAAAAGGAGAUUGAAACUGAGGAAAUGAUAAACUGCUUUCACCACAUUUGCUGGUUGAUGCAUAAUUCCAGCGGGAAUUGAUAAAAUUUUGUGCACGAACACACACAACUUCCGGCACGAGCCUGCUGGGCCAAAAUGGAGAUUAGCAAAGCCAUCUUUCUCUCCCUCGCAUUUCUGUGCUAUGGUAAGAUUUUUUUGCCUUGCAUUUGAAUUAAUGAAGUUAACACCAUUAACACAUGCAGAGGAUGCUUUUUUGAAAGAGAUGAACUUUUUAGAUUCUUUCUGGCCAUAUGUUUCUCUAUACAUCAGUUUAAUUCAAGGCAGCAAUAACUUGCUACAGUUUCUGAAGCAUUUUAUAACGGGCAAUCGUUUUCAAAAAGGUUGAAAACCUAACAUCAGGGAGAAGUAGUACUUUUUUUUUUUUUAGGGGAUACAACCAGAAAGGAUCAUAGAAGUCUCUGCUUUUUGAUCCCACCCUUUCUUUUCAGGCCAGGAGAAGACAAAGAACUUGAGUAGCUCUUCUGCAGUUGGGGAAGAGGUCUCAGAAUGGGUCCAAAGUUUCUGAAGAAAUAUUCAGAACACAUAUUUGCCUUUUACAAAUUGCUUAUACCUUUUGUUCGCUCCUUGGUAUCUGCUUUGUCCAAUACUACCUGUUUAGGCAAAGUCACUUGGGCCUUGUGCCAUGUAUAUAAAUAUCUUAAAACAACGGAAGAAUGAAUGAGUGCUUGGGUGUAGGAAAUGAGAUGAAGAGCAUACGUUUCAGAGAGGGUAUGCUAUCUUAAAAAAAAUGCUUCAAGAAUCAGAUUAGUUCUGCAGUGUGGGAGGAUUUCCCACCUGUGCAUUCAUCCAUAUGUAUUGAACAAGAUAUUCUUAGUCUCCUUUUAAAAAAGCAACCAUAGACGUUAUACAGUGUUUAUAACUUUGUCCAGACAAGGCAAAAAGUUGAGCUUAAGCCAGGCUCAAUUAACAUGAUCUAGCCAACGUUGAUAUAAAUAUAAAGGCUUCUCAUAACAAAAUACCCAAGGAAAACAUUACUUUAGAUUCUGCAGGUAAUCUAGUCUAGUCAGUACAUAGUCUAGGCAAGAAACAACAUUUUCCAAGACAGAAGAAAGUUUGGAAAUGAUAUAAAGAUGCUAUUUAGCGGUAAAUUUGGGUCUGGAUUUACAGUGCAUAAUAACUUCCUGGUAACUUCUCAUGUCCUUAAUGCAAAUUACAUGCAUGUUUUCCUCUUGUCACUUUCUAAUUUAGAUAGAAGGAUUACACUACUUAAUUCUGACUACAUGUCCGAAAAAAAUUGUUUCUAAUGGAGGUGAUUAAACAAUCAAACAGGUUACCAGGGAAUCUAUGGAGUCUCUGUCCCUGGAGAUACUCAGAAUUCAACUGGAUAUGGUCUUGAGCAACCUCAUCUGGCUUAGCAGUCAGCCCUGUUUUGACCAGGAGCUGGACUGAAACCUCUGGUUAGAAGAAAACUACUGCAGGAAUCCUGAUCGAAAUGAAAAUGGACCAUGGUGUUUCACAACAGAUCCUGCUACCAGAUUAGAUUACUGUAGCAUUCCAGAAUGUGAAGGAGAGAAAAAAGUAAUCGAGAGAGUUGGGAUCAUCAAGGUCACACUGAUGAAUGUGAUGAAAGCGUGUUAGUGAUUUAUGGAUUCCAUGGUUCCCAUGGAAAAUCUUGCUGUUCUUUAGAAGAAGCUAUUCUGAAGAGGAAGCAUCUCUAGUAGUUUUGCAAUUUGAAGGGAUGUUUCUGCUAAUAGCCAGUGGAGUGCAUGCAGUGUAAUGGUGAAGACUACCACGGAAAAGUUUCCAGAACAGAGUCUGGGAUUGAGUGCCAGCACUGGGAUGCUCAAGAGCCUCAUAUGCAUGGAUAUACCUUGGAAAAUUUUCCAGAGAAGGAAAGAUGAAGAUGAAUUCUGAAGAUGAAUUAUUGCCGUAACCCUGAUGGCGAACUUCAGCCUUGGUGUUUCACUACCAGCCCCACUAAGCGCUGGGAAUAUUGUGACAUUCCUCACUGCAGUGAGUCUGACUUCUAGCAAUUGCUCUACUGGGGCAAGCUGUCGCUCCAUGCAGUUGCUGGGCUCCCAUCAAAAGGAUGUGGAGUGGAAAGAAGAGAAGCAUGUGUGAGAAAAUAUUGGUGGGAAAACAUUAGUGAGAAAAACAUUAGCAAGAAAAAUCACUCACUAAGUUUCUGUUAAGUUAAGUUGUGUUAGUUUAGUGAGGGCAAAGUUGUCACACAAGUGUUACAAAGUAUAGCAUUGUCAGAGAAGUCAUGAAGACCCGAAUUUUUCUUCAACAACCUUAUUUUUUGGUACACCUGAGGAGGGCGUCAGUCGGCUUAAAUCUCAGGAGCACCAAGUUUUAGUUUCCACCUAACCUGCUAACUCAAGGGACAUCCAUGAAAUACCCUGGCCUCAUGGUGAUUUUUUGCCUAGUGUUAGCCAACAUGGGAUAAAUUCUUGCCUUUUUCUUAGUGAAGAUGGAUCCUGAAAGACAAACUCAGGCCUUGAAGAACUAAGAAUAUUGUCUUUAAAAUGGGUGUUUAUAUUGAAGGACAAACUAAUGCUUAGAUCCUCAGUCAUAUCCUCAUAUAUCCUCGUGAUGCUUCUUUUCUGCCUUUAAGAAGAAACAUGCUAACUAAUGGAGAUCACUACUUAUAGGCUUCUCUAAAGUAAGAAAUUGAAUUCAAGAAACUGUUACCUUGCUGAUUUUAAAAAUUUAACAAGACUUUUGGUACAAAUUAAAUUUUUAGAACCACAUUUUUCCCAAAGUGAAAUCAUAAGUGCAAGAAAAAUAUGCAUUCAUUUUCAUCCUCAGGGAAAAUAAAUAAAUAACUGCAGACUUUCACUCUUUUCAUACCUCUUGUCUGUUCGGUAUCUUUCUAAUGCAUCUAGCUCUCUGGCUUCCCUAGAAGUAGUCUUGAAGUUUGGAUCAUAGAUAGCAACUGCAUAUCCCUGUGUAAGCACUUCAGUCUUUUUGAUUUCUUCCUUCCUUCUUUCCUUCUUGCUAUUAGGCUGUUUCACUUGUAUUGAAAGCCUUUCACUCCUUGUUCUGAGUAUCCUCCUCAUCUUUCUCUUCUUUUCCCUCUCUUUUCCCUGCAGUGCCUCUCCUCAUAUCUUAUCCUUGGGCCUUACCCUUGCUCUUUCCAGCUGUCUGUAACUUUGCUCUUCCACCUGACUUUUGUCUUUCCAGUAAUGCCACUUUCCCACUUUCCAACUCUACUCCAGUAAUGCCACUUUUUCACUUUCCAACUCUACUUUUGAGACUGGUGCAGUGGAGUUGGGUUCAGAGUGGUCAUGUUGCUGCCUGAUAGCUGUAAAGAGAAGUACAGAACACGCUUCAGGAAGUCUAAUGUUUACCUUGUUGUCGCUCCCUCUCUCCUCCCCUCCACAAAGCUAAAAAGGAUGUGUUCUCUAUGUUUUUGUCUUGCCAUAGCUUUCCAGCAAUAUCACUUCUGUAUAAAAAAAAAAAGAGUGUGUUCAGCAUGAUACAAAGCUUAACCAUAUAUCCUGAGGCAUCCAUAUAUAUAUCCAUAUACCUGAGGCAUUGUUUCUAUUUUGUUCUUUUUCCUGGCACAGCUACACCCUCAUUGACUUUGGGACUGGGCCACCAGUGUCUUUCAGGGAAUGGAAAAGACUAUCGCGACAGGAUAGCCAUCACUGAAUCAGGCAAUACCUGUCAGCGCUGGAGCACUCAGUUUCCUCACAAACAUAGGCAACCUCCCGAGAACUAUCCCUGCAAGUAAAAGAAACACCUUCCGUAGUUAUAGGCUGUACCAUUACCAAGAAAGACUUAUCCUAAAAUGAUCCUCGUAAAAAUAUUUGUGAAUGUGAUGCCAGGUCUCUUCUUCCCUACUCUGCUUAUUACUCCUGUUUAGCUCUUUCCUUUGAUACUGCUCUUUCUUUCUUCUAGAUUAUUCUUUUUGUCUGGACAGCUUAUUAUUAGGUACUUAAGCCUUUCUCAGUGACAUUCACCGUUUUCCUGCUCCUCCUUUCUCCGUUCCAGCCUAUCCUGUUUCCUUCCUGGCUAACUAGUGUUCAAAGUGGUCCUAUGGUUGGUCUGGGUGUUCCAGGAACAGUAGUGGUCAAUUCAGACCUUCUGAUUACCCCCUAUUUUUGGAUCAUAUAGGUAUACUUGCCACGCAGCUUUAAAAGAGGCAGCACUGAUUUUAAAAUGCUCUAAAUUGAGUUUGGUUAGGGUUUUUUGCUCGCAAUACCAUUGAGCAACAAGCCAUUGGUUAAGGCGGUGUGUGUGUGGGAACACAGGGAAAGAACUGACUGGGGCUGGCAGCUGGUUACCUUAACUCUGUGGGCAAUGGAUCUAACCAAGUAAAUCUCCCCAGAGGCACUGGAAAUUUCUUCUGUUUCUGGUCCAGAAGGAAAGUGAAGGGAAAGGGCAGUAUGUGCCUGGAAUCAUCUAUUCAAAGUAGCAGGGGCUGGUGGGACUGGCAAGUGACACUGGAGCUGUCACGCACAUCUGUGUGACAUACAUAGAGUCACUGAGAGACUAAAGGUCUCAGGGAUCAGGAGAGAAGGACAACAGCUUGGAGUUUGAAUUGGAAGCUCUGAGCUGCACCCAAUGGUCUAGACCUGUUCAAAGAUGCAGAGGUUGAGAAAAUAUAAGAGAAUGGCACACCAGAUUGCACCAGUUUCAUCUAGACCAGUAUCCUAUUUAGCUACAAGAACAGAUCAUAUAUUGAGUACUUUGUAGCCUUCUGUGAUAAACUGGUGUUUCAUUGUCUUUGGUAUAUCCAUUUCUCUCUCCUUGCAGUGCUAUCUCACUUUAGCCAAUAUUAUUCUAAUAAGCAAUAUGCUUUGAGACAUAAGAGAGGGGAGAGAAGGAGACAGUUCUCUUAACUUCUAGAAUGGGAUGCUCUGCGGCUUCUUUUCCUGUCUGCUAAGGGCUUAUACACUCUCCAAAUCAGAGUAUGUUCCCACAUAUAGGAAUCUACAUAUAGGUCCAGCACAAAAGCCAUUUGAGACUGGUCAGAAUUUUGAAUAUGAGCCAAUCUUACUGGACUGCUCAGCUGCCAGUAUACAGACCUUACAGUAGGAAUGUUUUAAUGCAUGCCUUUAUGGAGCUGUUCCUGGUCUGAGAGCACAAAAGAGAAAACUUCAAACAUGAAAAGCUCAUCAUAUAGCCUUCAGCCAUGGAACCUUUAUUGCUGGAUUGGUUGACCACUUCCAAAACAGUAGUAUAUUGAAAUAAAAGGACAUGUAACAUAGGAUAAUGUUUUACCUAUGGUGAUGACUGUCCAGUAAAUGAAACAUGAAACAGGUCAGGAAGAUAGUUUACUGCUUUCUACUGCUUUGUGUAAGAUUUCCGGAAUGCUGUUGUUUUCAGUCAAUGUUUCCAUUUCAGGGGUUUAGAUAAAAAUUACUGUAGGAACCCAGAUGGUAAGAAGAGGCCCUGGUGCUAUACCACUGACAACACAACACGAUGGCAGUAUUGUAGCAUUCCUCCAUGUCCACAGAUAGCAUCACAAAUCACUGGAAAGAAAUGCCAAGCUUGGAACUCAGUGCUGCCGCAUCGUCACAACAGAACGGCAAACAAUUUCCCAAAAGCGGAUCUGAGAGAGAACUAUUGUCGAAACCCGGAUAAUGAUAUAGCCCCUUGGUAUUACACUACUGUUCCUACUGUGAGAUGGGAAUAUUGUAACCUGCAAAAGUGUGACUGUGGAGGACACCUUGCUUCACCUGAACCACCUUAUUCAACAUUAGACCCAGGCACUAAUAUGACUGGUUCAAACAUAACAGAAUGCAUUAUUGGCAAUGGUAAAGAUUAUCGUGGUGCAGUCACAAAAACUAGAAGCAACAGGACUUGUCAAGGGUGGAGUUCUCAGGAGCCUCAUCACCACAGUUAUCUCACUCCGGAGUGAGUCUUUUUUAGGUCUUCCUCAUACUUGACAAUCAGCUCUAGACAGGAUUUUCCCAGAGUCUUAAAUACAAAUGGUGGAAGGGGAAAAUACUUUUUUCUUCUUUUUGUGUAUGGUAAAUUUGCAACUGUUACUGAGUCUCAAAUCUGGAGCGCACAUGCUGCAGUAAAAUACUAAAUGGCCAGCUUAAAAACUUUUUCGCAGGGCAGGCUGAUGCAAGUCUUCUGAGCUCUUCACUGCUGUUGCUGAAAAUAUAGUGCAAAGAAAAAAUAACAUAAGUUCCUUAGUACCCACCUUGCUUCAGUGUAAACAUUACGGGUAGAAGUGGGUUUACCUGCAUAAUAUUAUCAGUCAAAACGUUGCUGCCUUUUAUCUAAUUAUUUCUAUUAUCCACUGUCCUCAAUGAUUCCUUUUGCUGCCUCAGAAAAGCUGAGGAAAUUUUGGAUCCAAUAAUCCAGUUAUUUCCUACACUGAAAAGAAAGAACUUGCAGGAUAUCCAGCUGAUCACAGUCACUUCUAUUAGAGGGAAAGGAGAGGGAAACAAUGUGGGAAAUUGUUUCCCUCAGAUGAGACUGAACAAGAUUCCCCUUAAAGGGAGGCCUAGCUUAUGACAGAAAAAUAAAUGACAACAUAAUACCUGAAAGUGGUAGGAAGGUGUGGAGGGCUAAAGCAAACAUAGAGCUAAGACAGUCCAGACAUUAUACUUAUAAAACAUUGACCUAUGUUGUAGCUUGCUCUGUAUGCAUAAGCUUGCUUCUUAUGUAUAGUUUUGCUAUUUACUUUAAACUCAAUAAAACAUG
Struthio camelus australis is the source of this 7571-nucleotide non-coding RNA. The record is from RefSeq and is a predicted model, not a curated record. NCBI's taxonomy places the organism in Eukaryota, Metazoa, Chordata, Aves, Struthioniformes, Struthionidae.